RNAcentral lists this long non-coding RNA (374 nucleotides) under Spirodela polyrhiza (greater duckweed). RNAcentral's name for it is "long non-coding RNA (SPOL_LNC000353)". The record is from RNAcentral. Lineage: Eukaryota; Viridiplantae; Streptophyta; Magnoliopsida; Alismatales; Araceae.
UAUUUUCCUCUCCCUCUUUUCCCUCUCUCCAUCAGCCUCACUCUCUCUCUUGACUUUGCUUUUCCUUUGGUAUUUCCUUGUCCAUCUCUCUUCCAUUUCUAGACUUUCACCAUCUUCCACAAAACGUGGGAGUUCCAUCAAAGAGAGACACAUUCAAAAACCACAACUCUAUAUGAAAAGAAUCUCCAUUAAGGUAUGUUGGCUUCUUUAAUUUCAUGAUAUUUGGUCAGUUUUAAAAUAAUCUACAUGCUCUUAAUGUGAGUGAUCAUAGAUUAGCCCUCUCUCAUUGAUUUACUCUUAGUUUGAGUAUAGCUCUACUUUUGAAGUAUUCAUAAUCUAAGUUUCAUUUGUCUAGCAUCAAAUGAUCGGCCGAA